UCUGACGCUGAGGUGCGAAAGCUAGGGUAGCGAACGGGAUUAGAUACCCCGGUAGUCCUAGCCGUAAACGAUGGGCACUAGGCAAUGGGUUUUCCCUAUGGGACUCAUAGCCGUAGCUAAUGUGUUAAGUGCCCCGCCUGGGGAGUACGCUCGCAAGGGUAAAACUCAAAGGAAUUGACGGGGGAUCACACAAGCGGUGGAGCAUGUGGUUUAAUUCGAAGCAACGCGAAGAACCUUACCUGGUCUUGACAUGCAUGGAUUAGCCCUGUGAAAGCAGGGUGACAGCUCUUCGGAGUCGGAACAUGUGCAGGUGUUGCAUGGCUGUCGUCAGCUCGUGUCGUGAGAUGUUGGGUUAAGUCCCGUAACGAGCGAAACCCUUAUCGUUAGUUGCCAGCGGGUAAUGCCGGGGACUCUAGCGAGACUGCCGUUGUCAAAACGGAGGAAGGUGGGGACGACGUCAAGUCAUCAUGGCCCUUAUGACCAGGGCGACACACGUGCUACAAUGGCCGAUACAAAGGGUUCCAAAAUCGCGAGAUCAAGGCAAUCCCAUAAAGUCGGCCCCAGUUCGGAUUGCAGGCUGCAAUUCGCCUGCAUGAAGCUGGAAUCGCUAGUAAUCGCGUAUCAGCCAUGACGCGGUGAAUAUGUUCCUGAUCCUUGUACACACCGCCCGUCAAGCCACGGAAGCGGGGAGCGCUCGAAGUCGUUUUGUCUAACCUUCGGGAGGACGGCGCCGAAAGCGAACUCCGUGACUGGGACUAAGUCGUAACAAGGUA
RNAcentral lists this ribosomal RNA (773 nucleotides) under uncultured sediment bacterium. RNAcentral describes it as "bacterial SSU rRNA". It matches the Rfam family "Bacterial small subunit ribosomal RNA", at positions 739 to 1498 of the family's 1533-position model. The record is from RNAcentral.